AUUUAACAAAUUUAAUUAUAAACUACGAGAAAAUAGUCCGAAUCUAACGAAGUACAACUUGUGGAUAAUGGCUGUUGACAUGAUGAUGCAAGCUCGCCAGGCCCAGUGAUUAAAACCAAUGUUAAGCUUGAUUUAGCCACUGCAGUAUAAGGAGAGAAGCAGACCAGAAACCUUUGACUAAAGCAAAGAUGAUAUGCAUAACAAAAGCAAAUAAAGUGUCAGAUUGAAAUCCAUCUUAUGUUGGACUAAAGAAUCAGGACAUUCUUCUGGAUCACAGGUAGCACAAAGUAUUGACAAAACCAAAGAUUACCUGGUAGUCUGCAAAUGGAGUGAUCAUUGGAUGAGCCACAACAAGAUUUUCCUCGGAA
This is a long non-coding RNA of Saccostrea cuccullata (small rock oyster), 368 nucleotides long. RefSeq lists it as uncharacterized. The record is from RefSeq and is a predicted model, not a curated record. The transcript is spliced from 4 exons. Lineage: Eukaryota; Metazoa; Mollusca; Bivalvia; Ostreida; Ostreidae.